RNAcentral lists this transfer RNA (62 nucleotides) under Dicerca corrugata. RNAcentral's name for it is "tRNA-Tyr". Lineage: Eukaryota; Metazoa; Arthropoda; Insecta; Coleoptera; Buprestidae. The record is from RNAcentral.
GUUGAAGUGGCUGAGAAUAGGCGAUAAACUGUAAAUUUAUUCAUGGGGUUACCCCUUCAACA